AACGAACGCUGGCGGCAUGCCUAACACAUGCAAGUCGAACGAGACCUUCGGGUCUAGUGGCGCACGGGUGCGUAACGCGUGGGAAUCUGCCCUUGGGUUCGGAAUAACAGUUAGAAAUGACUGCUAAUACCGGAUAAUGUCUUCGGACCAAAGAUUUAUCGCCCAGGGAUGAGCCCGCGUAGGAUUAGCUAGUUGGUGAGGUAAAGGCUCACCAAGGCGACGAUCCUUAGCUGGUCUGAGAGGAUGAUCAGCCACACUGGGACUGAGACACGGCCCAGACUCCUACGGGAGGCAGCAGUGGGGAAUAUUGGACAAUGGGCGAAAGCCUGAUCCAGCAAUGCCGCGUGAGUGAUGAAGGCCUUAGGGUUGUAAAGCUCUUUACCCGGGUAUGAUAAUGACAGUACCGGGAGAAUAAGCCCCGGCUAACUCCGUGCCAGCAGCCGCGGUAAU
This 450-nucleotide ribosomal RNA is filed under the name uncultured bacterium. RNAcentral's name for it is "bacterial SSU rRNA". It matches the Rfam family "Bacterial small subunit ribosomal RNA", at positions 29 to 524 of the family's 1533-position model. The record is from RNAcentral.